Long non-coding RNA from Papaver somniferum (opium poppy), 2082 nucleotides. RefSeq lists it as uncharacterized. NCBI's taxonomy places the organism in Eukaryota, Viridiplantae, Streptophyta, Magnoliopsida, Ranunculales, Papaveraceae. The record is from RefSeq and is a predicted model, not a curated record. The transcript has 2 exons.
UCGACAUCUCAUAUACUAGAAGUAGAGUGUAAUCUGAUUUAGCCUUCUCUUUCUAUUAUCUUUUCUCUUUUUAUAUGUAGACUUAUGAAACAAAUUAGAAUGCUUUGAGCUGUCCAGUAGCGAAAAAUAAUGUAACUAAUUUUAGACAUCUUAUAUACCUAGUUGGCAAGAAAACAAGAAUUUUAGUGACGCUACUGGCACCACGUAUUCAUAUUGGACCCGUAGGAACACUAACUGCAAUAUUUCACCGAUUACUAUCUUAGAAGUACUUGAAAACCAUUAUUGGAGAGUUUUGAAUUUCUCGGAAUGCAAAAAAUAUGAUUAACUUGAGGCAUGUUAUGUACGAUAGUGGUGUAGCUCUAGCGAAACAGUUGAAAUGCGAGGUAGUAUACAGAUAACUAAGUUGCCUUUACAUAUUUAGGAUCACUGUUACUCAAUGUGCGGAAGUGAAUUGGUGGCUUAACUGCUGUAACCUCAUUGAUGAUUUAAGUCACAUUGUGUGAUCGGUAAAGUAGAGUCCAAAAAGUAAACUUGAAGCAGAAUCAAAUUAUCAUUCAGUAGAAAUUUGCUACUGGUUAAGGAAAUGCCAGACAUAUAUAUCAGCUGAUAGCCUGAUACUCUUCCAGACUUAACUCUUAGAUACCACAGAGAACUGACGUCCUUAUCCAGAGGUAAGAAGAAGAAUGUUCAUGAAAGGAGAAUAAUGUUUGCAGUAUAACAUUUCGUCUCCGUAUUUUAGAUCUAGAAACUUGUAUGCAUUAACUUUCCUAGAAUGGUUUAUGGCAAAGCAUCUUAAAUAAUUUGGUGGCUCAGAUAUUCUAAUGUUUGGCAUCUAACCCAGGGUUUGUCAUUUGUAAUCUUUCCAAGCAUAUAAAUUUUUCUUUUCUCUCUGGUUGUAUUUUUAUCCUUUCUAACUGAACAAGUAAUCUCAAGUAACUUUUAUAUCCGGUAAUUGGUAUUAGUCAUCUCUUCCUCUCUCUUCAUACAAUGCAAUCUCAACUAACAUUCACAAGUUCUUUAUUACUCUUUCCAGUAUGUCUAUACUCUUUUUAGAUUGUCUUCCUGUCAUUUGUUGUUAUGGAGCUGAGUUUUGGUUACCUCCAGGAACUUAAACGGCACAUACAUGCAUAUGCUGGUUUUACAGUCACUUUCCGUCCCUGCAACAUUGCUUAUAUUUCUGAUCUCUAAAUAACUUAUGACUUGUGUGUUCAUAAGGUACUACUAAAACUCUUAGUCUUAGUACAAAUCGUUAUUUAAAAUUUUGGCGUAAAGUAAUCUGACUACAACACUAGAAUUCAUGAGGUAGCAGCUAAUGUGACAUAUUCUUUUUCUGGAGGAAAGGAUCCCAGCUGGCCACAUAUCUGAUGCCUCAUGUAUCUGUUGGCUGAGAAUUCACCGAAAUGUGAUGUGAUCUAUAUAAUAUUACUCAGUUAGGUUUGUAUUUGGGAACUUAGUAACAGGUUUGUAUUUGGGAACUUAGUAAAUAGUAAGCAAUAAGAAACGGUGUCAGCAUAUUUUAGGCAAUGUAUCAGAAGUGAGCACAGAAGCUGCAUAUUUAUGUUGAUGGGAUACUCUUUUCUCUAACAUACUCCUAUUGAACAAAAGUUGAAUUUUAUUCCUUUAGUAGCUGGUUAUAUAUAAUCUGUAAGUUCUGAGUGGUAUUACUUGCUGUUUUAUCUAACAUAUGUUGUUUCUUUAUCGUUGAUGGCUGUGUCUGCUUUACAUGCAAAAAUCACAAGAGCCUAUAUAAAUCACCUGAUCAAAGAUACACACCACAGACUAUUACCCACGUUUCUUCCAGAAAUUAAGGGAAGCUAUCAGGGAAAGGAUGCAGAAGGAAAAGCCCAGCAGUCAAGGAAAUUCUGUGCUCUUUGAUGCAUAAUGAAAAGCUCUCGUUGUAGCAAGUGCCAUACCGAUUUUGUUUUUGUUUCUAAGUUAUUGUAAAAUUCUGGUUUAUGUUGUUUAACAAUUGAACAAGAAAGGCAGUGGAAAUGAUGCACAAAAUCGACGCAGUGAAUUGGUAGUCUGUUGGUUUUCAUGUCACAGUAUCAAUAAUAUGAAAUUAUUACAGUUGCUAGUAAA